RNAcentral lists this ribosomal RNA (144 nucleotides) under Escherichia coli. RNAcentral describes it as "partial 16S ribosomal RNA". The stretch from base 18 to 144 matches the Rfam family "Bacterial small subunit ribosomal RNA", at positions 1 to 120 of the family's 1533-position model. The record is from RNAcentral. Lineage: Bacteria; Pseudomonadati; Pseudomonadota; Gammaproteobacteria; Enterobacterales; Enterobacteriaceae.
UUGAGCAUCAAACUUUUAAAUUGAAGAGUUUGAUCAUGGCUCAGAUUGAACGCUGGCGGCAGGCCUAACACAUGCAAGUCGAACGGUAACAGGAAACAGCUUGCUGUUUCGCUGACGAGUGGCGGACGGGUGAGUAAUGUCUGG